This 1522-nucleotide long non-coding RNA is filed under the name Strigops habroptila (Kakapo). RNAcentral describes it as "lncRNA (ENSSHBG00005011148.1)". The record is from RNAcentral. Lineage: Eukaryota; Metazoa; Chordata; Aves; Psittaciformes; Psittacidae.
UUUUUUAGUGCCUGAUCCAUAAGCUACUGAUCCGUAAGAUUACAUUUUAUUGUUUUCUGCUGCUGUCUCACUGCACACAGCGUAAGGAGAAGAGGAGAUGCUCUGGGACAUGGUCUCUUCCCUUUCCUCAGCCCCGUGGCUCCUUCCCUUUCCCUCCAAACCCACAACAGAAAGCAAGGAAGAGCCUCUGGGGUCUGCAGUGUAUGAAAACAGCAAGGGAGAGGCAGGAAGAGGCGCAGCAAAUGAUGGGCAGAGAUGAGGAGGAAGAGAUGAAGGCCUAAAACCAGCCAAUGGCAAGGGAAACAUGAGAAAUCAGGCACAGGAGUUGCUUCAGCCCUCACUAGUAGGUAUCAAUGGGAGAACUGAUCUGGCUUUCCAAUAGUGCUUUCAUGGAGAGUAUCUUGCAGCCCUGCAAGUGUUGUUCAGCCCAGUCGCCUCCUGAUUCCACAUGGGCUGGCAGCUGGACUAGCUGGUCAUCGGAAGUCCAACUGAAAUAUUCCAUUCCAUAUUCAAGGCCAGGCUAGAUGGGGCUUGGAGCAACCUGCUCUAGUGGAAGGUGUCCCUGCCUGUGGCAGGAGGUUGGAACUGGAUGCGCUUUGAGGCCCCUUCCAACCCAAACCAGCCUGUGAUUCUUUGUUCUUUGUAAUAAUAAAAUCAAAGACUCCACGAAGUUGGAAAAGACCUUUAAGAUCAUGAAGUCCAACCUUUACUCCAGCACUGCCAAGGCUACCACUAGACUACUGUGAUUUAUUUCGUGUCCCAGUUGGUUCACUGAUGGACAGAAAUUACAUCUCUCACGUCAGGAAGCUUCUGCAGUUUUAGAGAUGCAAUGAAAUGCGGCAGAGGAUUGGAACUGGAUGAUCUUUAAGGUCCCUUCCAACCCAAACCACCCUAUCAUUCUAGUCUAGUCUCGUAUAGUCUAUCCUAUCCUAUCCUUCUAUCCUAUCCUAUCCUAUCCUAUCCUAUCCUAUCCUAUCCUAUCCUACCCUGUCCUGUCCUAUCCUAUGCUAUGCUAUGUUAUUUUAUGCUAUUCUAUUUUAUUCUGUUCUGUUCUCUUCUGUUCUGUUCUGUCCUGUCCUGUUCUGUCCUGUCCUGUCCUGUUCUGUCCUGUCCUGUCCUGUUCUGUCCUGUUCUGUUCUGUUCUGUCCUGUCCUGUUCUGUUCUGUUCUGUCCUGUUUUCUAUUCCAUUCCAUUCCAAAAGGUUUUCUCCUAGCUCUCGUACAGUAGGUUGUGGCUGAGGACUGCUGCUCUUCUCCUCUUGGGGAUCAUUCCCAGAACCUCUUCGUUUCUGACUCGGCAGAGUCAAUACACAUUCUAGGAGCUAUUUGAGCAGCUCCUGUUUCAGGAGGCUGUAGAUGACGCUAACUGCUUCUCCCCAGGGAGCAUGGCUUUGAGCUGCCUCUCCCGCAGCUGUGUGGUCCAUCAAGGAGCAGCAUCCCAACAGCGGUGGCCUAAAAAAGAAAGGACAGAGGCAGCGUACCUCAGCGACGCUCCCCGGCCGAGAUCGCGCCCGAGCUCUCGC